UACAGAUUGAUUUGACGAGCUGUAAUCAAAGACAACUGUACCCUGUGAAUGCUUCAAAGUACUUUUUUUGUGCGCUAGUAUGGUUUUAUCCAAGCUCUCUAAGCCUUGGUUAGAUAAAGCUUUGUAUUUACUGUUAAUGAGAUGGUCACAUUCAAACACUGGGUCAUCCUGGAAUUGAUGAUAUGGUCAUAUAAGAUAGAGCGAGCAAGCUAUAUAUCAUUUGUAGGAUGGUAGUACUAGCAUUGAUGUUUUCUGACUAGUUCACCUAGUGGCUGCAUGUAAAUGUGGGAAAAGACUGAAGAGAACUCAUGCAUGCAGUUCUAGACAUAAGGCAUCUGGUGAUGAAAUGCAGUUUCCCAUAACUUUGAUGUUGGGUUACAGGCCUUUAGAAAGUACUCAACCCAUUUUAGCAAACUGCAUCUUUCACCUCUACCUGAUAAGACAGCAAAUGCUGUGUACAGGCUCUGGAACAUGAAAAUGCCUUUUUGCCCUCUAUCCACUGACAAAUGGAGAUCAUCCAUCAGUGCCACUAAUGUAAUUUUAGUUCGGUGUCCUUCCCUGACCUGAAUUCAGAGUCAUGAAUUCAGUUUCAUAUGUGGUAGUUUCAGUCAUCUAACUAAUGGCAUCUCAGAAUUUAUCCAGUCUUCCAUUAGCAUGCAUUGUCCAUUGAGUGUCAUUCUGUGAAGUGUUUGGGACAUCUUCAGGAAUGUGCCACCUGAGUCCUUAGCAGGAUACAAACUCUUCAAAAACACCUUCUCUAUGGAACACAAAUGACCACUCAUUGCAAAAUCACCCAAGAGUGCAGGGUGAGUGGUUUCCAUCCUGACAGACUGUAAUGUACAUUGCAAAAUCUUUUUCCUAUCCACAGAGAGUUAGAAAGAAACUCGUACAGGAAAAUCCUUCCUAAUCCCCAGAUGCUGUAAAACAUAGCAGCAAAAUCCCUCUAUCAUCGUACAUGAACACAUACUGCAAAAUCCCACUGUGGCUAUACAGACCCAAUAACAAGAACUCCAUGGAGGCUGGCAUCGUCCCAGAAACACUGUAAAAGACGGCAGAGAGAUUUGAAUUCUGUACGCCAGAUCCUACGAUGUUGAGCACAUGACCGCAACAUAGAUGACAUUCCUGCCUGGAACAGAUACAACUGCGAUGCGAAGGGAGAACUACGUUCAUCUGACUGCUGACAUGCAAUGUUGAUGAGCAGUGCUGAGAGGGGAGGUUUGGUGUCCUUACGCACCCUCUUGCUCUCUGCAGUAAGUUCACCCUUGUGUGUGCAGUGUUCAGCGGAGGUGCACAACUACUACAGCACUAGCCUGAUUUACACUGAUGUUCUAAUAGGCAGGGUCAUGUAUUUGUAAGUACUUCAACACGUCCCUAAACAGCUAGAAAACACUUGGCUAUUAAAAUGUUCGUCCCAUUUCACCUCAUGCGAUGUCAAUACAUCAUAGUUGAUGACGGAAAGCCAAGAUUACUACGUCUAUAAAAAUUACAUUGUCUGGUAACUAUAACUGGAAUUUCAGCAGAAAAAUGGGCUAUCUAGUGAAAAAUGUCAUCAAUUGCUGUGUCCUGUGGCACUUACAUGUUAGUUCAGAAGCUCUCUUUUCCAUCCUAAACAGCUUAGCUGUUGUAAGCAGAAACCAUUACAUUUAGCAAUCCUACAUGUUUUUUGCAAGUGCUUUCUACCUGUUGAAUUCAAACCUGCUUCUACAGAUGAUG
Molecule: non-coding RNA, 1713 nt
Organism: Struthio camelus australis
Lineage: Eukaryota; Metazoa; Chordata; Aves; Struthioniformes; Struthionidae
Source: RefSeq, a predicted model, not a curated record